AACAAGGCGUACCUGCGGACCUGCGGAAGGAUCAUUACAAGUGACCCCGGUCUUACCACCGGGAUGUUCAUAACCCUUUGUUGUCCGACUCUGUUGCCUCCGGGGCGACCCUGCCUUCGGGCGGGGGCUCCGGGUGGACACUUCAAACUCUUGCGUAACUUUGCAGUCUGAGUAAACUUAAUUAAUAAAUUAAAACUUUUAACAAUGGAUCU
Molecule: unclassified non-coding RNA, 212 nt
Filed under: soil metagenome
Description: partial contains 5.8S ribosomal RNA, internal transcribed spacer 2, and large subunit ribosomal RNA
Source: RNAcentral